This 217-nucleotide long non-coding RNA is filed under the name Gossypium barbadense (sea-island cotton). Its description in RNAcentral is "long non-coding RNA (GBAR_LNC023165)". The record is from RNAcentral. Lineage: Eukaryota; Viridiplantae; Streptophyta; Magnoliopsida; Malvales; Malvaceae.
AAACAUUGUUUGAAGACCAAAAUUAAAUAUAGCAUAAAUUAAAGAUAUCGAAAAUAAAAAUAGUUUAAUAAUAUAUUAAAAGAUUAAAAUAGUUUUAAAUGAAACAUAUCAAAAAAAACAUAUCAAAAAUUAAAUAUAACCAAAAUGUUCUUGUUUAAAGUAAAAAGAUCAAAUCCGAAUUGUAAAUGUAGUUUAACAUGUAUAUAUUGUCUUUCCC